AAGCAAGUCAGACUGGUUCCUACUAUGUCAGGCGUGUACCCGUCACCCCAUUUAUCUCCUCCACAUCUCCCUGACCAGCACUGUAGCUCCCAUCGAGGAAAUUGAGUCUCAGCCAUGAGGGGUAGGGCCAGGGAUAUGUGCUGGUGGACGGACAGCCAUGUGACCGCGAGGCUGCGGCGGCCUGCCAGGUGGGCGACCCUGUGCGCCUGGAGGUGCGGCUGACCAACCGGAGCCCGCGCAGCGUAGGGCCCUUCGCCCUCACCGUGGUCCCCUUCCAGGACCACCAGAAUGGCGUGCACAACUACGACCUGCACGACACCAUCUCCUUCGUGGGCUCCAGCACCUUCUACCUCGACGCAGUGCAGCCGUCCGGCCAGUCGGCCUGCCUCGGGGCCCUCCUCUUCCUCUACACGGGAGACUUCUUCCUCCACAUCCGGUUCCACGAGGACAGCACCAGCAAGGAGCUGCCACCCUCUUGGUUCUGCCUGCCCAGCGUGCACGUGCGCGCCCUGGAGGCGCAGGCCUGAGCCCGCCCACUUCCGUC
RNAcentral lists this small RNA (544 nucleotides) under Pongo abelii (Sumatran orangutan). RNAcentral's name for it is "processed transcript". Lineage: Eukaryota; Metazoa; Chordata; Mammalia; Primates; Hominidae. The record is from RNAcentral.